RNAcentral lists this ribosomal RNA (479 nucleotides) under uncultured Bifidobacterium sp. Its description in RNAcentral is "partial 16S ribosomal RNA". Lineage: Bacteria; Bacillati; Actinomycetota; Actinomycetes; Bifidobacteriales; Bifidobacteriaceae. The record is from RNAcentral.
UUCCAGUCUCCCCUACCGCACUCAAGCCCGCCCGUACCCGGCGCGGAUCCACCGUUAAGCGAUGGACUUUCACACCGGACGCGACGAACCGCCUACGAGCCCUUUACGCCCAAUAAUUCCGGAUAACGCUUGCACCCUACGUAUUACCGCGGCUGCUGGCACGUAGUUAGCCGGUGCUUAUUCGAAAGGUACACUCACCCCGAAGGGCUUGCUCCCAGUCAAAAGCGGUUUACAACCCGAAGGCCGUCAUCCCGCACGCGGCGUCGCUGCAUCAGGCUUGCGCCCAUUGUGCAAUAUUCCCCACUGCUGCCUCCCGUAGGAGUCUGGGCCGUAUCUCAGUCCCAAUGUGGCCGGUCGCCCUCUCAGGCCGGCUACCCGUCGAAGCCAUGGUGGGCCGUUACCCCGCCAUCAAGCUGAUAGGACGCGACCCCAUCCCAUACCGAUGAAUCUUUCCCGACACGACAUGCGUCAUGUCGGAG